CUUGGUCAUUUAGAGGAAGUAAAAGUCGUAACAAGGUCUCCGUUGGUGAACCAGCGGAGGGAUCAUUACCGAGUUUACAACUCCCAAACCCAAUGUGAACCAUACCAAACUGUUGCCUCGGCGGGGUCACGCCCCGGGUGCGUCGCAGCCCCGGAACCAGGCGCCCGCCGGAGGGACCAACCAAACUCUUUACUGUAGUCCCCUCGCGGACGUUAUUUCUUACAGCUCUGAGCAAAAAUUCAAAUGAAUCAAAACUUUCAACAACGGAUCUCUUGGUUCUGGCAUCGAUGAAGAACGCAGCGAAAUGCGAUAAGUAAUGUGAAUUGCAGAAUUCAGUGAAUCAUCGAAUCUUUGAACGCACAUUGCGCCCGCCAGUAUUCUGGCGGGCAUGCCUGUCCGAGCGUCAUUUCAACCCUCGAACCCCUCCGGGGGGUCGGCGUUGGGGAUCGGGAACCCCUAAGACGGGAUCCCGGCCCCGAAAUACAGUGGCGGUCUCGCCGCAGCCUCUCCUGCGCAGUAGUUUGCACAACUCGCACCGGGAGCGCGGCGCGUCCACGUCCGUAAAACACCCAACUUCUGAAAUGUUGACCUCGGAUCAGGUAGGAAUACCCGCUGAACUUAAGCAUAUCAAUAAGCGGAGGA
Molecule: ribosomal RNA, 642 nt
Filed under: Trichoderma koningii
Lineage: Eukaryota; Fungi; Ascomycota; Sordariomycetes; Hypocreales; Hypocreaceae
Description: eukaryotic LSU rRNA
Rfam family: 5.8S ribosomal RNA (bases 253-406)
Source: RNAcentral